AAUUGUAUUAAAUGAUAAUUAUUUAUAUGAUUAUGAAGAAUUGUUUUAUUUCAUCUAUAAAAUAAAGUCUAUUCAAUCCAUUUUUUUAAAUAAUAAUAAAUAUGAGGAUAAUAAUAAUUUAAUAGACAUUGUUUAUAAUAUAUGUGUCGAGGAUAAUUACAAAAAGAAUAAACAAGUAAAGAAUCCAACAAAUAAGGAACAAUUCGAUACAUAUAAGGUAGUGUCUGAUGGGUUGCUUCAACAUGAACACCUAUGUAGUAACCCACAAACAGACAAAUUCGAACUCAUUAAUACACAUUUCAAACAUUUAAAAGAAUUUUUAUUUAAUAAUAAUAAAAUAAAAAAAUAUGAAACACUAAGAGACUUAUUUUAUAUUUUAUAUGACAUCGAAAUAUUAAAAAUACAAAAUAAAAAAAAUAAUAAUUAUAAUGAAAAAAAAAACUUAAGGUACAUAUUUAUAGCUAUCUUACCAAAAUUAAAAGUUCUAAAUCAUAGCUGUGUAAAUAAAGCAGAAAGAAUAAAUUUAGAACGUUUUUUUAUAUCAGCAUAUAAUAGGGAUCCCAUAGCCAAAAUAUUCAACCAAGUCGUCUUAAAUCGGACGCAUAGUAGUAGACUAGAAAAAAUACAUUACGAAGCAAUGCAAUAUGAAAAGGACACUGAGAAAAAAAACUGCAUGCAAAGUAACCUCAUUAAUAUUACAAUCAUUCCUGAAUUCAUAAAUUCAAAAAAAUUAAAUAUUAUAAAAAAAAAAGUUAAUAGAAACAUGAACAUAAAAGAUUUAAAAUAUUUAUGUUCAAGACUGUAUUCAAUUCCGAUACCUAAAAUACAGUUGUUUUAUACGGACGAGGUAAAAUGGAAGCCACAAAAAAAAAAAAACAGAAAAAAAAAAAAAAAACGCGAUGCAAAAUUUAUAGUCAUACAUACAAAUUUACAAGCAUUUGCAAAUAUAAACAAAACAAAAAAUAAUAUUAGGCGUAUCAUGUCAUAGAACAUAUGUAUUUAAAUUAUGUUUUAC
This 1015-nucleotide long non-coding RNA is filed under the name Piliocolobus tephrosceles (Ugandan red Colobus). RNAcentral describes it as "lncRNA (ENSPTEG00000011729.1)". The record is from RNAcentral. Lineage: Eukaryota; Metazoa; Chordata; Mammalia; Primates; Cercopithecidae.